Molecule: transfer RNA, 69 nt
Filed under: Hylarana roberti (Tenaserim dark-side frog)
Lineage: Eukaryota; Metazoa; Chordata; Amphibia; Anura; Ranidae
Description: tRNA-Gly
Source: RNAcentral
ACUUUCUUAAUAAAAUUAUUAUGAAUGAUUUCCAAUCAUUUUGUCUUGGUAAAACUCCGAGAGAAAGUA